RNAcentral lists this ribosomal RNA (385 nucleotides) under uncultured Ochromonas. RNAcentral's name for it is "SSU rRNA". It matches the Rfam family "Eukaryotic small subunit ribosomal RNA", at positions 585 to 972 of the family's 1831-position model. The record is from RNAcentral. Lineage: Eukaryota; Chrysophyceae; Chromulinales; Chromulinaceae.
CCAGCUCCAAUAGCGUAUACUAAAGUUGUUGCAGUUAAAAAGCUCGUAGUUGAAUUUCUGACUUCGGAUGUCGGUCUGCCUCAAGGGGUAUGUACUUGUCUUGUCCGGAGUCAUCCUCGAGAUGAAGAUGUCUGUCAUUUAGUUGAUGGGCAUGGGAUUCUCGUCGUUUACUGUGAGUAAAAUAGAGUGUUCAAAGCAGACAUUAUGUCAUUGAAUACGUUAGCAUGGAAUAAUAAGAUAGGACCUUGGUCUAUUUUGUUGGUUUGACUCCAAGGUAAUGAUUAAUAGGGACAGUUGGGGGUAUUCGUAUUCAAUUGUCAGAGGUGAAAUUCUUGGAUUUAUGGAAGACGAACUACUGCGAAAGCAUUUACCAAGGAUGUUUUCA